UCUGUCUAUCACUUCCCGCCAUGAAAAUCGCAACGGCUCUUAUCGUGGUGGGAAGGCGCAUGGGCAGGAUGGUGUAACCAUCCGGCGAUAGCCACCCAUGCGCUAGAUGACAGGCUCCUCCGGGGCCUUUUUUUGUGCCCGAAAUCGGGCUCCCGGCCACAAACUCAAAUCCCAGCAUCAAACGGAAAAGACAGAUGAGCACGGACAAUCAGGCGGCAGGCAAUCGGAUGACGGGGGCGGAGAUCGUUCUCAAGGCGCUGAAGGACAACGGCGUCGAACAUAUCUUCGGCUAUCCCGGC
Molecule: small RNA, 299 nt
Filed under: Rhizobium sp. N113
Lineage: Bacteria; Pseudomonadati; Pseudomonadota; Alphaproteobacteria; Hyphomicrobiales; Rhizobiaceae
Also listed under: 7 other names
Description: miscellaneous other RNA
Rfam family: Rhizobiales sRNA Atu_C8 (bases 23-144)
Source: RNAcentral